UGCGGACUGUUUUUGGAGAGAGAAGGCGCGCCCCCAACUUGGGUAGGGGGCAGAGAGGGCGAGCAGGAGGAGGCAGGUUCCGGCACAAGGCAUGAGGGGUGGGGGGAGGCCGAGAGCACGCGGACAAAGGAGGCGGCCCUCAGCCCAGCUGUUUUGAAAAAUGCUUCCUGUUUCUUUAAAGGCGCUCGCUGCUCGGGCGGCCUGGGCUCGGGAGGCGGCAGCGGCGGCGGCGGGAGCUGCCUCCUCUCCGGGCGGGCGGCGCUGAGUGAUCUUGCGAACUGGGCUUCUGUGUAAACUGAGGCUAAACAAACACAGAUGGAGCGCAGCGGGCGUUCUGCAGAAAUGCUGGCAGGGCGGCAGCGACUUCAGAUGACACUCUGAGCUCUCCCGGGGAACCGGCAGCCUCCAAGGCUUCACGGAGCCGGAGGCGCAGCUGCCCCGGGAGUGGGGGUGCGAGGGAGGGACCCGGGGAGGGAGGGUAGGAGGAGAGAGCGCGGCGACAAGGCGGCGCUCAGCGCGGCGGCCACCCGGCACAGCCAGGCGCGCGGCGUGCAGAGUGAUCGCUGCGGGCGCGCGUCCCGGGCAGUCCCACGCCCCAGCCUCACGCCGUCCUCGCCAUGAAGCACAUCCCGGUCCUCGAGGACGGGCCGUGGAAGACUGUGUGCGUUAAAGAACUGAACGGCCUCAAGAAGCUCAAGCGGAAAGGCAAGGAGCCGGUGCGGCGCGCGAAUGGCUAUAAAACUUUCCGAUUGGACUUGGAAGCUCCCGAGCUCGGCGCCACAGUCAGCACCACCGCCGCCACCAACGGGCUUCGGGACAGGACACAACCGUUCCCGAUCGCGACCCCAGUACCAGCCUCAGUGGCGCCGGCGGUUCCUCCAGGUGGAGGCACAGACACAGCCAGGGAAUUCCGGGGCAUCAGAGCGCCUGAGGUCUCUGACGCGCGCAAACGCGGUUUCGCUCUGGGCACAGUGGGACCGGGACUACCCACGCCACCGCCGCCUCCCGCAUCUCAGAGCUUGGCACCCGGGGAUCCCGAGGCGCACUCCUUCCGCGAGCAGGCUCUGCGUCCCCGCAUCUUGCUGUGCGCCCCUCCCGCGCGUCCCACACAAUCCGCGCCUCUCGCACCCCCAGCGGCGCCACAAGAGUCCCCCGUGCGCCCUGCGCCCCCCACGCGCCCGGGGGAAAGUUCCUACUCGUCAAUUUCACACGUAAUUUACAAUAACCACCCGGAUUCUUCCGCGUCGCCUAGGAAACGGCCAGGCGAAGCGACCGCCGCCUCAACGGAGAUCAAAGCCCUGCAGCAGACCCGGAGGCUUCUGGCCAACGCCAGGGAGCGGACGCGGGUGCACACCAUCAGCGCAGCCUUCGAGGCGCUGAGGAAGCAGGCUUGCUGUGUACAAUGCCUGCCAUCAACUGAGUCCCCACUGCCUUGUGAGGUCAGUUUUGUGCCCAGUGUACAAGGGCUGAGUGAAUAUGUCAUUCACUGGGACGUACGCUGGGCAGAGUCAGAGCCAGGCAUUGAACCCAGGAGACAAAGGUGCCGUGCUACUCCUAUGGGCAGAAGCUCUCCAAACUGGCCAUCCUGAGGAUUGCCUGUAACUACAUCUUGUCCCUGGCACGGCUGGCUGACCUGGACUACAGUGCCGACCACAGCAACCUCAGCUUCUCCGAGUGUGUGCAGCGCUGCACCCGCACCCUGCAGGCAGAAGGGCGAGCCAAGAAACGGAAGGAGUGACCUGCCACAGGCUAGACCACAGACACCACUGUGAGUCUCUUCCCAGUUGGGACUGAGGAGAAAGCUGGGACCACCAGGAGACGACCAGCCUCAUUCCUUGUCUUCCUCAAGAUGCUGCCAGAUACUCAGCCCGUGUACCAUCUCUCAGGGUCACUUAGAACCAGCACAAGGGCCGCCGGCCUCCCUCUCCGUCUCCUGCCAUCCAGGGUUACUUCAGAUUUUGCCUUCUGCCUGGUGGGGCGGGCUAUUGCCAAAGAUUCUACAGAGAUCGUCCAAGGAAAUUAUGGAUGAGGCCCCAACAGCACAAAACCACAUCAUUGCUGCCCUACCAAGUCCACCUCAAGCCAAAGAUGGAUUAGCACUACUGCUAGGAACCCAUGCAGUGGGCACCUGGUGACCAUCAGAAGCACUUAACCCUCCAAGCCAGUGCUCGCUCUGUGCUGGGCCCUGAGCAGCUGGUUGUCUUCGAGACAAGCUUCCUAGAGCCACGACAAGCAGGCUGCUGGUGGAAGGUGGAGCCCGAGAUCCUUGGCCCUUCCCAUUAGCUACCCAGACCUCUGACUCCUGUUCCCGAUACUCUUUGGGUCCUGGCUCCUUCUUGGACCCCAAGCCUCCUGAGAGAGGAGGGAAGGGGGAGACUAAAGAAGCAAUAUUGCCCCAUACCCCACCCGGGAUGUGCCCCAAGGAAAUCUUUCUGACAGUCCUUGCUCCCAGCCCCUGCCCCAGCAGGUGCGCCUCACCAGUGGUCAGGUUCAGGCUAACACUUAAAUUAGCACUCUGCUGGAGAGCAGCUGCCUGUGGACAGGCCAGGCAGGAGGACUUAGGGAGGAAGGGACCAGGGGAAUGGGCCAGGAUGUGGGGGAAGGGGCACGUUCAAAGCCAAGGCCUGCUCCUUGUGCUCCAGAGGCCAAAGCUGUUCACAUCUGUGUGCAACCAUCUGCUUCAAAUUGAAGUAAAAGCGGCAACAUAUAAAGGG
RNA transcript from Mus musculus (house mouse), 2714 nucleotides. It is a transcript of the gene named atonal bHLH transcription factor 8, with no coding region annotated. The record is from RefSeq and is marked provisional. The transcript is spliced from 4 exons. NCBI's taxonomy places the organism in Eukaryota, Metazoa, Chordata, Mammalia, Rodentia, Muridae.